This 107-nucleotide small RNA is filed under the name Marmota monax (woodchuck). Lineage: Eukaryota; Metazoa; Chordata; Mammalia; Rodentia; Sciuridae. The record is from RNAcentral.
ACAGGGCAUGGUGGUGCAUGCCUGUAAUCCCAGCGAUUUAGGAGGUUGAAACAGAAGGAUUGCAAAUUUGAGGUCAGCCUCUGCAAUUUAGCAAGACCCUGUCUCAA